Molecule: long non-coding RNA, 1806 nt
Organism: Lactuca sativa (garden lettuce)
Lineage: Eukaryota; Viridiplantae; Streptophyta; Magnoliopsida; Asterales; Asteraceae
Source: RefSeq, a predicted model, not a curated record
CUUAACAUGGUAUCAAAUACUUAUUCUUCACCCUCCUAAAAUUUGUCUUUCCUUUUUCAAAUCGAUCCUUUCCUUUCUAUCAUCUUCUUCCCUACGCAAACCCUAAUGGCUGGUGAUAAACAACAUCCCACGCCUCCUACUCCUCUUACCAAGGCAUAUGCUGUCAACAACAUCAAAACAUAUGUCCCGUUCAUCCUUGAUCAAACCACUCACAACUAUGACCCAUGGCGAGACCUAUUCACAGCCCAUUGCACCGCCUUCGAGGUCCUUGAUCACAUUGACAGUACCCACGAUGCACCUAGCUAACCAACCUCCAACUGAUUCACAAUGGCAGAAUCUUGACCAACUUCUGAAGCUUUGGCUGUUCGGUUCUAUUUCUCAGUCUCUUAUUACCUCUGCUCACUCUGUCAAUGCCACUGCACACAAAAUUUGGCUCAACAUUGAAGCCAUCUUCCGUCAAAACAAUGAUGCCACUGCUAUUCAAUUAGAAAACGAAUUAAGAACAAUCACAAUGGGAGAGCUAUCUAUUCACGACUACUUCAACAAAAUCAAGAAAAUCACAGAUCUUCUGGAGGGGAUUGGUGAGAAAGUAAAAGAAAAACAUGUGGUUAUUCAUGCAGUUAGCGGAUUGUCCAGUAAAUUUGAUACUACCGUCGGAUUCAUCAGCCACAACAAACCAAUCCCUUCGUUUGAUGAAGUCAGGUCCUUGCUUCUUGCUGAAGAACACAGACUUCGCACCACCAGAACACCUCCACCAUUGCAAACAAUUAACCUCCACAAAAUCACGGCAAGUAAAUGUUCUUGAAGGUGCGUCAUCUUAAAGAAAAUUAGAAAUGUCAAAGUGACUAAAUCAAUUUGAUAAUGUGUUGUACUAUGGAUCAGAAUGUUGAUGUUUUUACAAAAUCUAUAAACGCGGGUUAUUAACUAUUUAUGUAACAAAGUAGUUAUGAUCAAUCUAUUCCAAGGUUAAGGUCGAUGCAUGUAAGGUGUUGAAAUAUUGGUAUAUAUGGUAUAUAACAAAGUUGUUUGGUAUUUAUUUUGUACGUUUAUAUGCCCAACACUAAAAAUGAAAAGUCAGCGAGAUGAAUCAACACUAAAGCUAAAUGAAAGAAAGAAAGAGUUUAAGUACUAAAGGUGUGCAACAUUUAAAGACCGAGGAGCUGCGUGCAAAAAGGGAAGCAAAUUAAGGAGUAAUCAGUAAUUACGAUUUGUAUAUAAACACUAUUCAUUCGGCCAUUUUAGCUCAAGUUUCUGCAUUGAUUUUCUACUCAUCGUCAAGUUUCUGCAUUGAUUUUCUACUGCUAUAUAUAUAGUUGAAGUAUCAUCAUCUUCAAUUCAUCAUCAAUACAACCUGCAAGUGCACUCAUGGAGACUAAAACUGAGGUAUCACAAGAAUUGCCUGGAGUACAAGUUAAUCAGCUACCACCAGUGGUUUAUAUAAAAUCUACACCUCUAGCGGAUAUUAUACAACCUGUCAAUCAGAUACCAUCGUCUUUUCCAACAUCAGCCAAUGUUAUACAUUCCGACAAUCAGAUACCACCAUCAGAGGUUAUUAUACAACCUCCACCACUGAAACAGUGAAACUUACCCUACCUGGUCGUAUCAUUGGUGGCAAGUGAUGUCAAUAUUAUCAAUGCUGAUUUCUAAUAAUGAUUCGAAUGUGUUUGAGGUGGCAAAUGGAGAUGGAAGCUCAGGAACACGUUACACGUAAAUAAAAAGGAUUAAUAUAUAUGUACGUAUAUGUUGUUAUUCUAUAAUGUUAAUCGUUUUCUGAAAGAUAUAUUAAUUAAGUGUUUGUUUCUAUUA